UACGUAGGGCGCAAGCGUUGUCCGGAAUUAUUGGGCGUAAAGAGCUCGUGAGGCGGCCUGUUGCGUCCGCUGUGAAAUCCCGGGGCUCAACCCCGGGCCUGCAGUGGGUACGGGCAGACUAGAGUGCGGUAGGGGAGAUUGGAAUUCCUGGUGGUAGCGGUGGAAUGCGCAGAUAUCAGGAGGAACACCAAUAGCGAAGGCAGCUCGCUGGGACGUUACUGACACUGAGGCGCGAAAGCGUGGGGAGCGAACAGGAU
This 257-nucleotide ribosomal RNA is filed under the name uncultured bacterium. RNAcentral describes it as "partial 16S ribosomal RNA". It matches the Rfam family "Bacterial small subunit ribosomal RNA", at positions 524 to 778 of the family's 1533-position model. The record is from RNAcentral.